Molecule: long non-coding RNA, 1066 nt
Filed under: Cyanistes caeruleus (blue tit)
Lineage: Eukaryota; Metazoa; Chordata; Aves; Passeriformes; Paridae
Description: lncRNA (ENSCCEG00000012608.1)
Source: RNAcentral
GAGCUCUGCAGAGCUGAGGCACCGGCAGGGGAUUGCCCGCUGCCUGCCCAGCCCCUGGCAUGCAGCGCUCCUGCUUGCCCCGCUGGCAGCGCAGCCGUCCCGCAGCCCCCGGCCCCACGGCCAUGGCGCUCCAUCGCCAAGACGGCCCGGCGGGCUCUGCGCCGGCUCUUCUCCUUCAGCUGCCUCAGGGGACAGCGAGAGGAUUGAGCCCAGAGCCAGAAGCAGAAUGAUGCCAAAUGAUGCCAGCUCCAAAGGGCAGGUCCAGGAGGCAGUGACACCAAUGGGAGACAAACACUGGGUACACCCCAAUGGAUGGAUGCAUGGUGCUCAAGGCAACUAAUUGCCAAAGUGUGCUUGUACAGACACUUGAAGAUUUAAGGACACAUCAAACACUGGGACCAGCAGGAGAUGCACUUCAGGGUGAUGUACAGAGCUGUGGGAGAUGAAGGAGUUGCCCUUUCCUGAGGCAACAAGUUGUCAUUUAGCUGGUCAAGUGCCGGAGCUAACACAUGCAGAGAGUCACUUUCCUCUCCAAUCGCCUGUUUUAAUGAAGAGGGAUGGCAAGACUGUCACCAUAAUAGGAAACAGAUAAACCAAAGCUGGAGAGGAAAGCUAAAUGUGCUCAAAUGUCUGUGAGGUCCUGGCUCCAAGGACAGCCACGUACAAGGACGUAUCCACAGUGAGUGACACAGGAGAGUAUUUGUCCAGCAGAAGAACAGAAAAGUCUACAGAAAAUCAGGUGGCCACAUCACAUCAGCACAACUCUGGAAACAUUCCUCAGGAAAGCCUAGAGAUGAGAGGUGAUGGCAGAGCUCUUGUUCCAGCACAAGCCAUGAAUUUGUGGCAGAAAUUUCCAACUGAGGAGAUGUUCCCAGCACCCCAGGAUCAUUCAGUUCUAACCCCCUGCCAUUGGCAGGGACACCUUCCACUAAACCCAGUUGUUCAAAGCCCCAUCCAGCCUGGCAUUGAACACUUCCAGAGUUGCAGCAUCCACAUUUCUGGGCAAUCUGUUCCAGUGCCUCACGUCCCUCACAAGGGAAAAAUUCUUCCUAAUAUUCUAAUCUAA